RNAcentral lists this ribosomal RNA (1243 nucleotides) under 'Sophora alopecuroides' yellows phytoplasma. Its description in RNAcentral is "bacterial SSU rRNA". It matches the Rfam family "Bacterial small subunit ribosomal RNA", at positions 156 to 1399 of the family's 1533-position model. Lineage: Bacteria; Bacillati; Mycoplasmatota; Mollicutes; Acholeplasmatales; Acholeplasmataceae. The record is from RNAcentral.
ACGACUGCUAAGACUGGAUAGGAGACAAGAAGGCAUCUUCUUGUUUUUAAAAGACCUAGCAAUAGGUAUGCUUAGGGAGGAGCUUGCGUCACAUUAGUUAGUUGGUGGGGUAAAGGCCUACCAAGACUAUGAUGUGUAGCCGGGCUGAGAGGUUGAACGGCCACAUUGGGACUGAGACACGGCCCAAACUCCUACGGGAGGCAGCAGUAGGGAAUUUUCGGCAAUGGAGAAAACUCUGACCGAGCAACGCCGCGUGAACGAUGAAGUAUUUCGGUACGUAAAGUUCUUUUAUUAGGGAAGAAUAAAUAAUGGAAAAAUCAUUCUGACGGUACCUAAUGAAUAAGCCUCGGCUAACUAUGUGCCAGCAGCCGCGGUAAUACAUAGGGGGCAAGCGUUAUCCGGAAUUAUUGGGCGUAAAGGGUGCGUAGGCGGUUAAAUAAGUUUAUGGUCCAAGUGCAAUGCUCAACAUUGUGAUGCUAUAAAAACUGUUUAGCUAGAGUAAGAUAGAGGCAAGUGGAAUUCCAUGUGUAGUGGUAAAAUGCGUAAAUAUAUGGAGGAACACCAGUAGCGAAGGCGGCUUGCUGGGUCUUUACUGACGCUGAGGCACGAAAGCGUGGGGAGCAAACAGGAUUAGAUACCCUGGUAGUCCACGCCGUAAACGAUGAGUACUAAACGUUGGGUAAAACCAGUGUUGAAGUUAACACAUUAAGUACUCCGCCUGAGUAGUACGUACGCAAGUAUGAAACUUAAAGGAAUUGACGGGACUCCGCACAAGCGGUGGAUCAUGUUGUUUAAUUCGAAGGUACCCGAAAAACCUCACCAGGUCUUGACAUGCUUCUGCAAAGCUGUAGAAACACAGUGGAGGUUAUCAGUUGCACAGGUGGUGCAUGGUUGUCGUCAGCUCGUGUCGUGAGAUGUUGGGCUAAGUCCCGCAACGAGCGCAACCCUUAUUGUUAGUUACCAGCACGUAAUGGUGGGGACUUUAGCAAGACUGCCAGUGAUAAAUUGGAGGAAGGUGGGGACGACGUCAAAUCAUCAUGCCCCUUAUGACCUGGGCUACAAACGUGAUACAAUGGCUGUUACAAAGGGUAGCUGAAGCGCAAGUUUUUGGCGAAUCUCAAAAAAACAGUCUCAGUUCGAAUUGAAGUCUGCAACUCGACUUCAUGAAGUUGGAAUCGCUAGUAAUCGCGAAUCAGCAUGUCGCGGUGAAUACGUUCACGGGGUUUGUACACACCGCCCGUCA